GUUAAAAUAACUCAUGUUGUGUCUGUUCACAGAUCCAGGGUCUGCAGUCAGGUGUGUUUGUCCAUCAGUGUUCAGCUGUCUGUCUGCUGUCUGGAGGAUGAUGACUUCUGUUUGUUCCUCUGAGGAAAUGGAUCAUCAGUCUCUGUAUAUUCCUCUCUCUGUAGAGGAGACCCGACCAGAACCGGCCCAGAGUUCAGUGCGGCCAUGCAGUGAUGGAGAAAGUUACUUUUAAAAAUGUUAAGGCCAGAAGUGGAAUCAGUAAUCCUUAGGCUGAAGGAAAUGCAAAUUCACAGCUGUACAGUAGAGGGCGCUGCUCAAACAAACCUUUCAGCCACUGCUGAAGAAAG
Long non-coding RNA from Megalobrama amblycephala (Wuchang bream), 347 nucleotides. RefSeq lists it as uncharacterized. Lineage: Eukaryota; Metazoa; Chordata; Actinopteri; Cypriniformes; Xenocyprididae. The transcript has 3 exons. The record is from RefSeq and is a predicted model, not a curated record.